This 1598-nucleotide long non-coding RNA is filed under the name Drosophila guanche. Lineage: Eukaryota; Metazoa; Arthropoda; Insecta; Diptera; Drosophilidae. The record is from RNAcentral.
AUUUGUUUAAUCAUAUUUAAUAUUUGUUUUAUUUAUUUGUUUCAUUUUGUAUUUAUCAUUUUAAUAACAAUGCCGCGUCCUAGAAGAUCCAAUCUUUCCCAGCGAAGCCGUAAUGGCACUUAGGCAACGGAAUAUCGCGAGUCAAUUAUCUGAAAUUGCACGAGAACAGCGCCGCGUUAAUAUGGAGCAAAGAAGGGCCUUAAUUCGUGCUUCUCAUCAGAUACGCACAUUAUUUGCUAUCAUCAUUUCAACAUGCUUCAUGUUGAAGCCUUACAGACUUCAACUGUCUGUAAAUAUGAGAGUUGCAUUGUUGAACGAUCUAUCUGCUAAUGUGUUCCUGUUGACAAAUCGAGCGGUUUGAUUUAAUUUCCUCCAAAUUUAUGCAAUUUCGUAUCAUCAAAAGCCGAGCUUAUCAACAACGUGUAUUCCCGGAUAUCAUUGCUAACCACAAAAAUACUAAAUGGUUAAGUCAGCGAGCAAUUUUGGCCGCUAAAAAUAAAGAUGUAGAUGACCUCAAUCUUAUAAUUCAAAAUCAAAUUGUAGGUACUCUAUAUUCAUUCAAAUUUAUCGACUGUGUAACAAACGAAGAAGAAGCCACUAAGUAUCCAACUGAAUUUUUAAACUCCUUGGAUGUGCCUGGCUUACCACCGCACAAUUUAAAACUUAAAGUUGGCUCGGUAGUCAUCAUGCUUAGAAAUUCAAACCAACCAAAACUGUGCAAUGGAACGCGUUUGGUGAUAAGAAAACUGAUGAGCAAUGUGAUUCACGCGUCGAUACUUCAAGGAAAAUUUAAAGAUGAGGAAGUUCUUAUUCCAAGGAUUCCGAUGAUCCCAACGGAUAUGCCCUUUGAGUUUAAACGAAUUCAAUUCCCGAUUCGUCUUGGCUUCGCCAUGACGAUCAACAAAUCACAGGGCCAAUCCUUGACUAUUUGUGGCCUCAAUCUAGAAAAUGAAUGUUUUUCUCAUGGUCAAUUGUACGUGGCAUGCUCACGUGUCGGCAAACCAUUCGCUUUAUUUCUUCUUGCGCCUGACCAAAAAACAAAGAAUGUCGUUUACCAAAAAGUGCUUGAAUGAAAAUCCUAUUACCAUCGCAUUGGAUUAUUGCAACCUAUAGAAGAUGCACAUAAAUUCUUGCAAUAUGGACAAUAUGGAAGAACAACUUGACAGGCGUCAAGGGAUCAACACAGCUACGAAGAGAGCAAUUCUCCAAGAUCUACAGCAAAUGCUUCAUGAACAUCAUGCAUUGGUAAGGCUGUUCAAGACUGCUUUAGGGCGCAUGCCAAGUGAUUGCAAUUCGGUCAAGUCAAUUAAAUACAUUUGCAAAUAUGUCACGAAAGGAGCGACAUGGCGGUUUUUGGUAUCCAAACAUCCGAUACCAACGAUGAAAUCACGCGCUAUCAAGUUGGUACUUUUUUGUUUCUAUCUAUAUAAACAUAUUAUUUUGUAUCAUUGUUUUACGUUCAUCAAAGCCUAAAUUAGUUCAGCUAAAAAGUAACACGACAUUCAUUGACUGUUAGGCGGUGCGAAGUUCGCCGGGUCAGCUAGUUAAACAAAUAAAUAAAACAAUUAUUAAAUAUGAUUAAACAAAUACAAAUUGAC